Molecule: non-coding RNA, 46 nt
Filed under: Trichobilharzia regenti
Lineage: Eukaryota; Metazoa; Platyhelminthes; Trematoda; Strigeidida; Schistosomatidae
Source: RNAcentral
GUACCGAUGAAGAGUCUCAGAAUAGGACUAAACAGCUGUUUAGUAC